This 4206-nucleotide long non-coding RNA is filed under the name Nicotiana tabacum (common tobacco). RNAcentral's name for it is "long non-coding RNA (NTAB_LNC013176)". The record is from RNAcentral. Lineage: Eukaryota; Viridiplantae; Streptophyta; Magnoliopsida; Solanales; Solanaceae.
UACUAUUUAGAAAGCGAGAGUUAGGGGCCUCUUCGUCGUCCUGGGUUUAUUUUAGGAAUUCGCCAUUCUGCUUCGGGGUUAUUUUUAGCUUUUGAUCAACACGUGUUGACAACUACAGUUUUCAGUCGACCAACCUCUCUCUCUCCUCUUUGUCUCUUUCGUCUUUUUCAUCGAGGAUUUGACAAAUAAACCCUAAUAGGCAGACGAAUGGGCAAAGCGCCUGCUUUAUCGUCCUUUUGUUCUUCAUCUUACUAUUUAUUGGCUUUGCUGCAAACAGCAUAUAUGGGCUUUGAGCUAUUCAUUAAAUAUAAUAUUUAGCGGCUUAGGUGAAUUCUAUGGUUUCGAAAACGGAUUUGACUGUUUGAAGGAAUGAAUCGCUCAUUGUCGUCUCCAGAUAGUGAUUACUUUGAAGAUAUUGAUCCUACCAUUGGUAAGUUUCGCCUCACUUGCAGUAAAAAUCUUUUAUAAGUAUCAAAUCUCGAACAUUAACAUGUAAUAAUCCAAUAAUACAACGCUUCUAGGUGUGAUUAGGCCUAAAACAAUAUUGCAUCUAUUAAAGCAAGAAGGAAAAUCAAGGGGCGCUGCUACAAAUCAAGUACGCAAGGCAAUUUCACUUGCUCAGAAAAUCAUCGUGUUGGACCGAUGAACUUUUACCAUCUGCAUCAGGCUAGCAAAGGCUGUUAAAAUUGGUUCAUUUCGGAUGGCUUAGGUUCGGGUUAAAAAAAAUUCUCGGUUCCUUUGCGAGGUUUGCUAGAAAUUUUAUAUUUCCACAUGUUUGUUUCAAAUUCAUUUGAAUAUCAUCACAAAGCAAUGCCUUGUUCAAGUAAAAAUUUCACCACAAAAGAAUGGACCAAGUUUGGAGGAUUGUGCUUGCUGGAUCAAUCUUGAGGGGACAUCGUCAAAUGUCGCUUUGCAGACAUUGCUCCAUCUUAUAUGCUCCUACAAUGAUCAUGAAAAUGGUAAACUUGUUGUCAAUAAUAUGGAUGAUGAGGUUGAGCAGGUUUCAAUGGAAUGAGUCUUGUGUUGAAUCAAUGAUCACAAGGAAACUAAGUUACGAUCUUGCUGGAUUCUUUUUUUUUUCCAGGUGUGAAAUGAAGCAUUAAGAUGACUGCAUUAGAAAAUCUGACAUUUCCAGCAGUCUAUUUAUUUUCAAUUUAUAGUCACCUCUUAUAGAGUUUGAUAAUCAUUUCACAGAAUACCAAUAGAGAUUAUACUCGGUAACCUGUGGUUAAAGUUUUGGCUUAAAUUCAUGUCAAAAGAUGGUGGUAUGGUGGAAAACGCUUUUUUGAUGAUCAGUUUACUGCUAGCACGAGGACAACAUUAUCCUGCUCUAUUACAUGUGCAAAUAGAUGGAUCAUAACCCUUUCUUAGGGUGUAUGCUUGAUGGAUACAUAGGAAUAUAAUGAGAAACAGAACAAUGGCUAUACAUGGUUAGUGGUUACCAAGAAAAUGCCACAUUUAAGAUCAAGUUGUAAAUGUGGGGAGUAAUUGUCCUACUAAAGCAAAAGGGCCCUCGGGGUACCAACUAUGGUCCAAUGGGCGAUUAUUGAAGCUUCAGGCCAUAGUGUUAUCACACCUGAAUUUUUUUUGAUGAUGUGAACCAAAACUCUUGAGACUAAAAAAGAUGCUGCAGGAAGCAAAGGAGACAUUGAAGAAGAUGCUUCAGGAAGCAAAGGAGACAUUGCAGUGCCUAAGCAAAGGAGACACGCUUUAGGCAUUGAAUUUAUUUAUUCGUAGUGUAAAUAAAUAAGUUGUGUAAUCUAGAUGCGCUAAAAAUGCAUAGUUUAGCAUAUAGAAAUUAUCUGUUAUCCUGAUUACUCCGGGGAAACUUGAAAGCUUGCCUCUCCUCUGCAUAUGUCGAUUAGGUGGUGUAUGUAUUGUCCCACUAUGAGUUCAUUGUGUGAAAUUCACUUUAAAGCUACUGCAUAGUCUUGCUUGCCUAUCUGAAAGUCUUGCCUUAUGUAUGGUGCAACCAAUUAUUUUUGUUUAUGCGAAUCAAUGUUUUUUCCCUUUUUUUUCUUUCUAAUAAAGCAAAAGUAUACAAAGUGAUGCUAAGUAGGGCUGAGAUUUUACUCUAUUUCUGCAGCUAACUCCAACAUUAAUGGAAGAGAAUUGACCUGAAGGUGAUUUAAAAGAGAUCUAGACAUAACUUGGGUAAGAUUUCCUGCUCUUUUCUUUCCCGCCCGGUGUCUGUGAAACUCCAUGCCUCCCCAAGACAGUGAAUUCCUUGAAAUUUGUUAUUAGCAUUCAAGGAGAGCAAACUUAGCUUCUCUCUUUAAUCUUGUGUAUUUCUUUAGGCUUAAAAUUUGUUUUAAGCUAAGCUAUGUACAAUGAGAAUCUGGGAUUCUUCUGCUUCACAGAAACUUAUUUUCUAAUAGCUUAAAGUUUGGGACUUUUAGUUGUUAGUUUCCAUGGGAGUAAGCUCAACCUUCUUUCUUUAUUUCUUUUAUCCUUUUUUUAGUCAUCGUUGUAGAAUAAAUAUAAUGAUUAUGCUAUAUUUUUAUGGUCGGUUGUUAUUGAUGAUCAUUGUUGGCCAUUUGUUUUUUAAUUCAGUGACAAUAUAUCUUUUGUGUGCUCCGCAUCUAUGAAAAAACAUAUCAUAUUGAUGAAGAUCACCCAAUCCCAAUGCCUUCAUGUUAUGGUUGCGAAUAAUACUCUUACUUUAUGGAGAAACUUUUUGAACAUGUAGGCAUUUUCUUGUGGCGUGACUGACUCGGGAUUGGGUUAUUUUGCAGAACAUGAUUCAGGUGGACAAUUAAAUAUAUAAUAUUGUGGAAAUGUAGCCAUUGGGAUGACUUACAUCAAAUUGUAAAAUAUUAAAUCAUACUCAAAACCUAAGGUAGAGAAUCCAUUUAAAUUUUGAGUCAAAUGGUUAUUGGAGAGUCACUUUCAUCCCUGUAUUGUGCAAAUAUAUACUUGACUAGAUCAACCUGUCUAGAUAAAUUUUUUUACUAUGUCUAACCGUUGCUUGGGUUAUUGAUGGUGACUGCUUCCGACCACCAAAAACCAUCUCUGAACCGACAUGUAACUUUACAGAACUUAUACUUAAAGAUCCAUUGGGACAAAAGAGGAGUCCAGAAAAAAUUUAUCAAAGCGCUUUGAGAUCGGUGGCGGAAACAACGGGGGAGUAGGUAAUCAUGGAGCCAAUUACAGGAGUUUUACCAGGAUGAUCUAAACUAAGAGAAAAUUUAAGUCAUCUAAUGAUGCCUUACAUCUCAUUGUGUACCUGUUUCUGUUGUAAAGAUCCUAUUGUCCCAUGCUCUUGCAAAUAUGUAGAUAAUAUGUCCAUUUGUUGUGAAAUGGACCGUGAACAUUAACUCCAUGCAGAAAUAGUCUGUUACAAGUAAACUUCCCUUAGGCUUAUUGAACUAUUAACAUGGCAUAAAAAUAUUUCCUUCCUGUAGUCUCCAAAUGAAGUCUUCUUUGUGUGUGUAAUUUUUUUUUAUAUGUUUGGCUGUUUUCAAGGCUCCUGGAGAGUUGAAGUGCAACAUAUUUCAGAUAAGAGUGUCAUAAUGAGUGAAAUUUCAGACACAAGGAGUAAUCUCUUGUUUGUGUUAAUUGAAAUAUGUUAUUAUGAUUUUCUAAAUGAGCUUGUCAGCAUAGCAUUGACCUAUACAUUCUCCUGCUUCACUGGCAAUUACCACAAAGUAGACCAGCUGCUAUUUGUUAAUGUUAUCUGUAUCCAUUUACUUUUAUCUUACAGGGCUCAUUUGAGUUGAUAUUUCUCUCACUGCAACCAAUUUAAAUGGUGGUAUCGAUUUUCUCUUGUACGGCGUAUACGGUUAAAAUCGGGCCCACCCGAUUUUACUGUUUGACCGAGACCGGGACUUUGCAUCAAAGGAUGACUCCGAAGUGGAUCGAAUCGAGGCACGAAGACAAGGUACCAAGAUCGAGGCUGACAACAAUCGAGACCAAACGAGACAGACAUCGAGCAAUACCGAUGAUAGCAUAAUAAUGGAAAAGCGAGAUAUCCUCGACUGGUCGAAGAUCAUGGCGGAAAUUUCGGAACGGAUCGAAUCAAGAACAGUUGUUUAGUUAAUCAUGGGAUUUCCUUCUGUAAUUAGAAUUGUACCAUAUAUAGAAUUCUUCUACUAUAUAAAGGGAGAGUUCUAACCAUUUGUAGAAACGACCGAGACAAAAAACAAUAUAAUUUUCUUUCUCGCUCAUACUCUUGUUCUUCAGCUUAUUGUAUUUUUAUUGUCCUUG